Molecule: transfer RNA, 69 nt
Filed under: Rattus norvegicus (Norway rat)
Lineage: Eukaryota; Metazoa; Chordata; Mammalia; Rodentia; Muridae
Rfam family: tRNA
About the family: Transfer RNA (tRNA) molecules are approximately 80 nucleotides in length. Their secondary structure includes four short double-helical elements and three loops (D, anti-codon, and T loops).
Source: Rfam by way of RNAcentral
AGGGGUUUAGCUCAGUGGUAGAGCUCUUGCCUUGCAAGCAGAUGGCCCUGAGUUCAGUUCUCAGCUCUG